This 74-nucleotide transfer RNA is filed under the name Gnetum gnemon. RNAcentral's name for it is "tRNA-Arg". It matches the Rfam family "tRNA". Rfam says of the family: Transfer RNA (tRNA) molecules are approximately 80 nucleotides in length. The record is from RNAcentral. Lineage: Eukaryota; Viridiplantae; Streptophyta; Gnetopsida; Gnetales; Gnetaceae.
GAGUUAGUAGCUCAGCGGAGAAGAGCACAUGGUUCCGGACCAUGAGGUCAAGGGUUCAAAUCCCUUCUAGUUCA